GAUGAACGCUAGCUACAGGCUUAACACAUGCAAGUCGAGGGGCAGCAUGGUCUUAGCUUGCUAAGGCCGAUGGCGACCGGCGCACGGGUGAGUAACACGUAUCCAACCUGCCGUCUACUCUUGGACAGCCUUCUGAAAGGAAGAUUAAUACAAGAUGGCAUCAUGAGUCCGCAUGUUCACAUGAUUAAAGGUAUUCCGGUAGACGAUGGGGAUGCGUUCCAUUAGAUAGUAGGCGGGGUAACGGCCCACCUAGUCUUCGAUGGAUAGGGGUUCUGAGAGGAAGGUCCCCCACAUUGGAACUGAGACACGGUCCAAACUCCUACGGGAGGCAGCAGUGAGGAAUAUUGGUCAAUGGGCGCAGGCCUGAACCAGCCAAGUAGCGUGAAGGAUGACUGCCCUAUGGGUUGUAAACUUCUUUUAGAAAGGAAUAAAGUCGGGUAUGGAUACCCGUUUGCAUGUACUUUAUGAAUAAGGAUCGGCUAACUCCGUG
Molecule: ribosomal RNA, 490 nt
Filed under: uncultured bacterium
Lineage: Bacteria
Description: partial 16S ribosomal RNA
Rfam family: Bacterial small subunit ribosomal RNA
Source: RNAcentral